UUUCUCUUUUUCUAAACUGUGGU
This 23-nucleotide non-coding RNA is filed under the name Rattus norvegicus (Norway rat). The record is from RNAcentral. Lineage: Eukaryota; Metazoa; Chordata; Mammalia; Rodentia; Muridae.